UACGGAGGGUGCGAGCGUUAAUCAGAAUCACUGGGCGUAAAGCGCGCGUAGGCGGCUUUUCAAGUCAGGGGUGAAAUCCCACGGCCCAACCGUGGAACUGCCUUUGAAACUGUAGAGCUUGAGUGUCGGAGAGGGUGGCGGAAUUCCAGGUGUAGGAGUGAAAUCCGUAGAUAUCUGGAGGAACACCGGUGGCGAAGGCGGCCACCUGGACGACAACUGACGCUGAGGUGCGAAAGCGUGGGUAGCAAACAGG
Molecule: ribosomal RNA, 253 nt
Filed under: uncultured bacterium
Lineage: Bacteria
Description: partial 16S ribosomal RNA
Rfam family: Bacterial small subunit ribosomal RNA
Source: RNAcentral